UAGGGAAACUUACGCUAAUACCGCAUACGACCUACGGGUGAAAGCAGGGGAUCUUCGGACCUUGCGCGAUUGAAUGAGCCGAUGUCGGAUUAGCUAGUUGGCGGGGUAAAGGCCCACCAAGGCGACGAUCCGUAGCUGGUCUGAGAGGAUGAUCAGCCACACUGGAACUGAGACACGGUCCAGACUCCUACGGGAGGCAGCAGUGGGGAAUAUUGGACAAUGGGCGCAAGCCUGAUCCAGCCAUACCGCGUGGGUGAAGAAGGCCUUCGGGUUGUAAAGCCCUUUUGUUGGGAAAGAAAUCCAGCUGGCUAAUACCCGGUUGGGAUGACGGUACCCAAAGAAUAAGCACCGGCUAACUUCGUGCCAGCAGCCGCGGUAAUACGAAGGGUGCAAGCGUUACUCGGAAUUACUGGGCGUAAAGCGUGCGUAGGUGGUCGUUUAAGUCCGUUGUGAAAGCCCUGGGCUCAACCUGGGAACUGCAGUGGAUACUGGGCGACUAGAGUGUGGUAGAGGGUAGCGGAAUUCCUGGUGUAGCAGUGAAAUGCGUAGAGAUCAGGAGGAACAUCCAUGGCGAAGGCAGCUACCUGGACCAACACUGACACUGAGGCAC
RNAcentral lists this ribosomal RNA (610 nucleotides) under uncultured Pseudomonadota bacterium. RNAcentral's name for it is "bacterial SSU rRNA". It matches the Rfam family "Bacterial small subunit ribosomal RNA", at positions 149 to 754 of the family's 1533-position model. The record is from RNAcentral. Lineage: Bacteria; Pseudomonadati; Pseudomonadota.